CUUCAACUUCAUGGGGGACUCCUUUGACAGGACUAGAGUUUGUGAAUUGAUUCAACUCUAAGGAAUCUGUUUCAUCGGCCAAAACUAAUAGGCAUGCUAUCCUUUGACUAAUCUUUCCUGGCAUUUUGAAAGAGCCACCAUUGCCUGUUUGACAGUUGACCAUUACAAGCAAAUUCCUUAUACCUCCAUUGUUGUUUAUGCAAACAUUGUAUACUUCAAAAAGUGUAUUCUUACUGCUGUUUGAUGGAAUUCCUUAGUUAAAAAUAAAGAUGGCCAAUGGGCCGGGCGG
This 289-nucleotide long non-coding RNA is filed under the name Citrus maxima (pomelo). RNAcentral describes it as "long non-coding RNA (CMAX_LNC002439)". Lineage: Eukaryota; Viridiplantae; Streptophyta; Magnoliopsida; Sapindales; Rutaceae. The record is from RNAcentral.